AUGAGGAGAUGUGUGUUUCCUCGUCUUCGCUGUCAUUAUUUAUUGCAUCAACGAGGUGGCAGAGACAGUGGCCACUUGUUCCAUCUGCAUGAAUCCAUCAUUCGAUUCAUUUCUUUUUAUUUCAGCUUUGCAGAAGUGAAGAGGAAAAUCAGUGAAGUUAACUGUGAGGUAGCAGGGAACAGCGAAGGACAUAUGGGGGCCUUGAGUGACCCUCCAGGAGAGGGAGUGCUGCUGAUUAAUGAUGCUUUUUGUUGGGUCUCUGGUGGGAUGGAGGCACAGGAACCGGGCUGGAGCACAUCUGGAGAGCUGGUGGUGCGAGAGCAUUGGUGCCCAAGCUUCUGCAAUUGAGCAGUUGUGAUGGCAGUAAGAGAGCAGCAAUACACUGACAUCAGAGCAUCGCUGGGGCACAGGUGAGUGGUGGACUCAGUUAUCACUGGAAGUUGUUUGGUUCUUUUCUUUAAUUUCUCCCAUUGUUUUUAGAUAUUUGGGCAUGUCAGGCUUGCUUCAGUUCGGUCAGACUAAGGAAAAGAAAUGCACAGUUUGACAAAGAUUGCCACUGCAAUACUUGCACUCGCAGUCUGCAUUUUUUCUUCUAGCGAAGUGCUGCCAGAGCCUCGCAGCCAUGUCGUGCCUCUGCAGCAGGGUGAUGGGAAUAACCUUGUGUGGCAGAGCCUGGUGCUCCCAUCAUAGCUCUGUGCAGGUUUCCCAAAUGCUGCAAUCAGGGUGCCUAUGUUUUUCAGUUCCACUUCUCCCUGCAGAACUUGUGUUCCGUGGGGCAGGAGCAGAAGCUCCUCCUGAGCCCAACUGUUCCAUGCUGCUGUACCUGCAUGGAAACACUGCCCCGUGAUGGAGCUCCUGAAGCCUGUUCCUUUACAAUCAGCUCAUAAUAAAACUUUUCAACUUUUCA
This 907-nucleotide long non-coding RNA is filed under the name Phasianus colchicus (ring-necked pheasant). RNAcentral describes it as "lncRNA (ENSPCLG00000006148.1)". The record is from RNAcentral. Lineage: Eukaryota; Metazoa; Chordata; Aves; Galliformes; Phasianidae.